CACACAUUGCUUUGGCUGUGAGCCGUGUACCUUAUCACCACAGCUUUCCAUUGGUCAGGCUAUUCUAAUGGAAAAUCUUGUUUAAUUAUGGAAUCUUUUAGUUAAAUGCCAUUGUCUCUAAUCAGCGUUUUCCUGGACGUGAACAUACUGAAGACCACAACAUCAGACAACCUGAAGAACUCCCAUGGUGUGGAUUUUGAGCUGCAGAAGACUGGCGCCUCCUUUUAGUGUAUCAGCAAGGCUGAUACAUCAUCCAUCAGAGGGCCUGAGGCUCUUGGACCGCAACUGAGGACACACUGGCCUGACAACUGGAUGAGCUUGGCCCAAUCCCUCCUUGUCCCCCUCUACCUGCUACCUACCUGUUGCAGCCUCCACUGGUUCUUUCUCCCCUGCACUCACCAGAAACUUGGAUUCCAUUACUUUCCAUGACAUCUUUAUGAAAAGACAUCUGACCAUAGGGUCUUGAAGUUUUAAUACUUUCUCUAUGGUCAUUAUGGAUAUUGUCUUGAGACUGCUGGCGAUAGGGAGGAGGUCAGAGACCUGGCAGUGUGGUGCCAGGACAACAACCUCUCCCUCAACGUGAUCAAAACAAAGGAGAUGAUCGUGGACUACAGGAAGAGGAGGGCCAAGUACGCCCCCAUUAACAUCAACGGGGCUGUAGUGGAGCGGGUCUACAUCACCAACAAACUAGCAUGGUCCUAACACACCAAGACAGUUGUGAAGAGGGCACGACACGUUUUCCCCCUCAGUAGACUGAAAAGAUUUGGCAUGGGUCCUCAGAUCCUCAAAAAUGUCAACAGCUGCACAAUCGAGAGCAACUGCUCAGCAUCCGACCGCAAGGCGCUACACGCGGUAUGUGCAUACGGCCCAGUACAUUACUGGGGCCAAGCUUCAAAUCAAGUCAGAUUUGAUUUCCUACCAUCCAGGAACUCUAUACCAAGCGGUGUCAGAGGAAGGCCCUAAAAAUGGUCAAAUACUCCAGCCAUCCUAUUCAUAGACUGUUAUCUCUGCUACCGCACGGAAAGCGUUACCGGAGCACCAAGUCUAGGUGUAAAAUGUAUUGGUCGCUAAAUGCAGAGAAUUUACGGACCAUGUAAAAAACUGUUGUUCACUAAAUCCGUCUAAGGGCCAUACAAAAAUGGCUGGCUGGUAUGCCCUCACCCGUCUGAGCAGUCGGCUGCCCUCACCCGUCUGAGCGGUCAGCUGUGAAUGUCCUCACCCGUCUGAGCGGUCGGCUGUGAAUGUCCUCACCCGUCUGAGCAGUCAGCUGUGAAUGUCCUCACCCGUCUGAGCGGUCGGCUGUGAAUGUCCUCACCCAUCUGAGCGGUCGGCUGUGAAUGUCCUCACCCGUUAUAAACUUACUGUACAACUGAUUGGUUUGGUUCUGUCCUCUAUAGUGCUGUCUGGUUAGAACAUGAUGUUGAGGCCCAUCACGGUACACUUGAUAGUCACCACCACACACACACACACACACACACACACACACACACAGUUGUCUUUGGUAAUCUGAAAGAGACUUGGAAUCUUAUUGUUAUGGUUCUAUAAGACAAUGAUAUUCACACAUGUUAAGGGUUAUAACUAUAAAAUAUACAUACAGUACCAGU
Molecule: non-coding RNA, 1604 nt
Organism: Salmo salar (Atlantic salmon)
Lineage: Eukaryota; Metazoa; Chordata; Actinopteri; Salmoniformes; Salmonidae
Source: RefSeq, a predicted model, not a curated record